This 440-nucleotide ribosomal RNA is filed under the name uncultured bacterium. RNAcentral describes it as "partial 16S ribosomal RNA". It matches the Rfam family "Bacterial small subunit ribosomal RNA", at positions 338 to 795 of the family's 1533-position model. The record is from RNAcentral.
CCUACGGGUGGCAGCAGUGGGGAAUAUUGCACAAUGGGGGAAACCCUGAUGCAGCGACGCCGCGUGAGCGAUGAAGUAUUUCGGUAUGUAAAGCUCUAUCAGCCGGGAAGAAAAUGACGGUACCUGACUAAGAAGCCCCGGCUAACUACGUGCCAGCAGCCGCGGUACUACUGAGGGGGCAAGCGUUAUCGGGAUUUACUGGGUGUAACGGGAGCGUAGACGGCGGUGCAAGCCAGAUGUGAAAGCCCGGGGCUCAAGCCCGGGACUGCAUUUGGUACUGUGCUGCUAGAGUGUCGGAGAGGCAGGCGGAAUGCCUAGUGUAGCGGUGAAAUGCGUAGAUAUUAGGAAGAACACCAGUGGCGAAGGCGGCCUGCUGGACGAUGACUGACGUUGAGGCUCGAAAGCGUGGGUAGCAAACAGGAUUAGAUACCCGAGUAGUC